RNAcentral lists this ribosomal RNA (2003 nucleotides) under Tenacibaculum maritimum. RNAcentral's name for it is "ribosomal RNA 23s ribosomal RNA". It matches the Rfam family "Bacterial large subunit ribosomal RNA", at positions 1 to 2025 of the family's 2925-position model. The record is from RNAcentral. Lineage: Bacteria; Pseudomonadati; Bacteroidota; Flavobacteriia; Flavobacteriales; Flavobacteriaceae.
AUAAGCUAAAUAAGGGCGUAUGGCGGAUGCCUAGGCUCUCAGAGACGAUGAAGGACGUGAUAAGCUGCGAAAAGUUGCGGGGAGAAGCACAUAUUUUAAGAUCCGCAAAUAUCCGAAUGGGGCAACCCGUCAUGUUGAAGACAUGUCACCUAGCAAUAGGGGUAAACCCGGUGAACUGAAACAUCUAAGUAACCGGAGGAAGAGAAAACAAAAGUGAUUCCGUUAGUAGUGGCGAGCGAACGCGGAUUAGCCCAAACCAUUGUUGUUACGGCAAUAAUGGGGUUGUAGGACCACAAUAUUGAUUAUUAAUUGAAUUAGAAUAGUUUGGAAAGACUAACCAAAGAAGGUGAUAGUCCUGUAUAGGUAAGGUUAAUAAUUAUAGUGGUAUCCUGAGUAGUGCGGGACACGAGUAAUCCUGUAUGAAUCUGCCGGGACCAUCCGGUAAGGCUAAAUACUCCUGAGAGACCGAUAGUGAACUAGUACCGUGAGGGAAAGGUGAAAAGAACCCUAAGUAAGGGAGUGAAAGAGAACCUGAAACCGUACGCCUACAAGCGGUCGGAGCACAUUCACUGUGUGACGGCGUGCCUUUUGCAUAAUGAGCCUACGAGUUACUGUUUCUAGCAAGGUUAAGUAUUUCAGAUACGGAGCCGAAGCGAAAGCGAGUCUGAAUAGGGCGCAUAGUUAGUAGUAGUAGACGCGAAACCGAGUGAUCUACCCAUGGGCAGGUUGAAGCUGUGGUAACACAUAGUGGAGGACCGAACCAGUUGACGUUGAAAAGUCUUUGGAUGACCUGUGGGUAGGGGUGAAAGGCCAAUCAAACUCGGAAAUAGCUCGUACUCCCCGAAAUGCAUUUAGGUGCAGCGUUGAAUAAAAGUUUUAUAGAGGUAGAGCUACUGAUUGGAUGCGGGGGCUUCACCGCCUACCAAUUCCUGACAAACUCCGAAUGCUAUAAAAUGUUUUUCAGCAGUGAGGGCAUGGGUGCUAAGGUCCAUGUCCGAGAGGGAAAGAACCCAGACCAUCAGCUAAGGUCCCCAAAUAUAUACUAAGUUGAAUAAACGAGGUGGAACUGCUUAGACAGCUAGGAUGUUGGCUUGGAAGCAGCCAUUCAUUUAAAGAGUGCGUAACAGCUCACUAGUCGAGCGGUUCUGCAUGGAUAAUAAUCGGGCAUAAGUAUAUUACCGAAGCUAUGGAUUUUAUAUAAUAUAUAAAGUGGUAGGGGAGCAUUCUAUAUGCGUAGAAGCAUAAUUGUAAGAUAGUGUGGAGCGUAUAGAAAAGAAAAUGUAGGCAUAAGUAACGAUAAAGGGGGCGAGAACCCCCCUCACCGAAAGACUAAGGUUUCCUCAGCGAUGCUAAUCAGCUGAGGGUUAGUCGGGACCUAAGGCGAAUCCGAAUGGAGUAGUCGAUGGACAACAGGUUAAUAUUCCUGUACUUGUUAUAAUUGCGAUGGGGUGACGGAGUGAUGAAAGCACCGCGAACUGACGGAAUAGUUCGUUGAAACAUUUAGGUAUUGGAUUUAUAGGAAAAACCGUGGAUCUAGCUGAGAUGUGAAAGUACAACAAGUCUUCGGAUGCGUUGAUAGUGUGCCUAAGGGCUUCCAAGAAAAACCUCUAAGCUUCAGAUUAUAAGAACCCGUACCGUAAACCGACACAGGUAGUUGGGAUGAGAAUUCUAAGGUGCUCGAGAGAUUCAUGGCUAAGGAACUAGGCAAAAUAGACCCGUAACUUCGGGAGAAGGGUCGCCCUCAGUAAUGAGGGCCGCAGUGAAAAGGUCCAGGCGACUGUUUAUCAAAAACACAGGGCUUUGCUAAAUUGAAAGAUGAUGUAUAAGGCCUGACACCUGCCCGGUGCUGGAAGGUUAAGUGGAGUUGUUAGCAUUUGCGAAGCAAUGAAAUGAAGCCCCAGUAAACGGCGGCCGUAACUAUAACGGUCCUAAGGUAGCGAAAUUCCUUGUCGGGUAAGUUCCGACCUGCACGAAUGGUGCAACGAUCUGGACACUGUCUCAGC